This 590-nucleotide ribosomal RNA is filed under the name Sarcocystis cruzi. RNAcentral's name for it is "SSU rRNA". It matches the Rfam family "Eukaryotic small subunit ribosomal RNA", at positions 476 to 1055 of the family's 1831-position model. The record is from RNAcentral. Lineage: Eukaryota; Apicomplexa; Conoidasida; Eucoccidiorida; Sarcocystidae.
AAUAACAACACUGGAAAUUUUAUUUCUAGUGAUUGGAAUGAUGGGAAUUUAAACCCCUUUCAGAGUAACAAUUGGAGGGCAAGUCUGGUGCCAGCAGCCGCGGUAAUUCCAGCUCCAAUAGCGUAUAUUAAAGUUGUUGCAGUUAAAAAGCUCGUAGUUGGAUGUCUGCUGGAAGCAAUCAGUCCGCCCUAUUUGUAGGGUGUGCACUUGAUGAAUUCUGGCAUCUAUGUCCCAAUAAUAUGAUGGUGUAUACCCUGUGUACACCCAUCUAUAUUGGGAUAAUACCGUUACUUUGAGAAAAUUAGAGUGUUUGAAGCAGGCUAAUUGCCUUGAAUACUGCAGCAUGGAAUAACAAUAUAGGAUUUCGGUUCUAUUUUGUUGGUUUCUAGGACUGAAAUAAUGAUUAAUAGGGACAGUUGGGGGCAUUCGUAUUUAACUGUCAGAGGUGAAAUUCUUAGAUUUGUUAAAGACGAACUACUGCGAAAGCAUUUGCCAAAGAUGUUUUCAUUAAUCAAGAACGAAAGUUAGGGGCUCGAAGACGAUCAGAUACCGUCGUAGUCUUAACCAUAAACUAUGCCGACUAGAGAUAG